Molecule: ribosomal RNA, 253 nt
Filed under: uncultured bacterium
Lineage: Bacteria
Description: partial 16S ribosomal RNA
Rfam family: Bacterial small subunit ribosomal RNA
Source: RNAcentral
UACGGAGGGUGCAAACGUUGCUCGGAAUCAUUGGGCGUAAAGCGCACGUAGGCGGUUCGCUAUGUCGGAUGUGAAAGCCCCGGGCUUAACCCGGGAAGGGCAUCCGAAACUGGCGGGCUUGAGUACGGAAGAGGGUCUCGGAAUUCCCGGUGUAGAGGUGAAAUUCGUAGAUAUCGGGAGGAACACCAGUGGCGAAGGCGGAGACCUGGGCCGAUACUGACGCUGAGGUGCGAAAGCGUGGGGAGCAAACAGG